AACGAACGCUGGCGGCAUGCCUAACACAUGCAAGUCGAACGAGACCUUCUGGUCUAGUUGCGCACGGGUGCGUAACGCGUGGGAACCUUCCCUUAGGUUCGGAAUAACUCCCGAAAGGGGGGCUAAUACCGGAUAAUGUCUUCGGACCAAAGAUUUAUCUCCUUUGGAGGGGCCCGCGUUGGAUUAGCUAGUUGGUAGGGUAAAAGCCUACUAAGGCGACGAUCCAUAGCUGGUCUGAGAGGAUGAUCAGCCACACUGGGACUGAGACACGGCCGAGACUCAUACGGGAGGCAGCAGUGGGGAAUAUUGGACAAUGGGCGAGAGCCUGAUCCAGCAAUGCCGCGUGAGUGAUGAAGGCAUUAGGGUUGUAAAGCUCUUUUACCCGGGAUGAUAAUGACAGUACCGGGAGAAUAAGCGCCGGCUAACUCCGUG
RNAcentral lists this ribosomal RNA (432 nucleotides) under uncultured bacterium. RNAcentral's name for it is "partial 16S ribosomal RNA". It matches the Rfam family "Bacterial small subunit ribosomal RNA", at positions 29 to 507 of the family's 1533-position model. The record is from RNAcentral.